UUUUCCGAUUAUAGAGCCGGAGAAUGUGAAAUUGGCUAAUAGAAAUUGUAGUCCGAGCCAAAGCAGUACCGUUGAGAACUCGCCACCGGUUAUGCCGGAGAACUCGCCGCCGGCAGUGAUGCUGGACACUUCACCAUUGGAUCUCAGCCUCGGUGGAUCCCGUAGUUUAUUUAGCAACGGUGUGGGUAGGGUUUUGUUCCAGAACCAUCAGUUUCACGGUUCUCCAGUCGCCGGAGGAAUCGCUGGAUGUAUUACGCCGGUGAAUCAUAUGUACUAUUUGGAAGCUCUUCAACGAGAGCGAGUGAUUUCUUCAUAUAAAAAAAGUUGCCGGAAAACGGCGGAGUUUAUCGCUGGUUGUGGUGGAGGCGCCUCCGGCGAGUCCGAUUCUUCGUCGGUGAUUGAUU
This 404-nucleotide long non-coding RNA is filed under the name Nicotiana tabacum (common tobacco). RNAcentral describes it as "long non-coding RNA (NTAB_LNC017262)". Lineage: Eukaryota; Viridiplantae; Streptophyta; Magnoliopsida; Solanales; Solanaceae. The record is from RNAcentral.